Long non-coding RNA from Poecilia latipinna (sailfin molly), 1247 nucleotides. RefSeq lists it as uncharacterized. The transcript is spliced from 2 exons. Lineage: Eukaryota; Metazoa; Chordata; Actinopteri; Cyprinodontiformes; Poeciliidae. The record is from RefSeq and is a predicted model, not a curated record.
UGACAAAGGAGAUUUCAAAAGAUCAGAAAAGAGUUGUAAAUGUCAACGCUUCCGAAACAAAUUUGAACCCCAGCUUUCCACAGUGAGGAGCUCAAUGGAAAAUGUCAACUUCACAACAGUGGGUGACCCAAAAGCAUCACUUUAAGAGCAAAAUGUGAGCCUGACCAAUUAAGAAAAAAACAAACAAACAAAAAGCACGAGUUUUAAAAUACCGGAAGACCUUAGAAUAUUUUGCUUAGAAUUGUGUACGUGAAGAAAGCGUCGAGAUAAAAUCAGGAAUGCAGAAUUUUACCAAAAUUCCUGCGAACACACCAGCAAACAUUUACAGAAAGAAAUGUGCUUCCAUCCAGGACAAGACUCUGAGAUAAACUGAGCUUGAUUCCUUUUUUUUAAAAAAAAUUGAGGCCUACAUGUGACGACUUUUAAGUCCCUUACUUCAACACAGGUCGAUUCUUUAGCAGCAGGAAGAGUGAGUGACAAGACAUGAGAUGACAACACCUUUUCAGUUUCUCAUGAGCAUCACCUGUUGUGCAAACUUGCACAACGACGCCAACAUGCAGAUCUGAUCCAGCCCAACCCGGACCUGCAGCUCUGCUGAGCGUGCCAUACCGGGGUGCAGUUAUUGCAUCUAGUAACACUUAAAAUAAAAAUAAUUAUUUAUAUCAGGAUUUCUUUGGGCUGAUUUAAAAAAAAAAGUGUUUAACAUGCAUUUUAGAAUUUAUGUCUGGUUUAAUUCCACCUAAAUUCAGGGUCCAGACGACUCCAUGACAAAAGUUCACAAGAUAGAAGCUCACAGGCCUAUUAGAAAAUGGGACAAAGGAUGAAAACUUUUAAAAGAAAAACUGUAUUCUAACCAGAUAAGCCAGACCAAAGCUCUCUUUGGUCUGUACACCUUCCCAGUCAUACCAGUUGACAGCCGAUGCUGGGAUGUGAGGUCAUUACAAAGUCAUUUAAAUGAAAAGACUUUGUAAACGCCGCCAAAUAGUGGAUCAGGUCUGAGGGUAUUUUUUUUCAAAUCUGGUUUUCUCACUAAUCUUGUUCACAUUGUGCCAACAUUCAAACAAUCAUAACUUCCAUGAUUUUUUUUUUCUUUUACUUCAUUAGAAACUUAGAAUCCACAUUUUCAGAAUGUGUAAAUAACACCUCUGGGUAGGCUUACUUCUGUUUUGUUUUUGUUUUUUUUAAUGCCCUGUCACAUUUGUCUUCUCUCGGAUCUCAAAAAUAUAUUAGCUGUCAAAAAUAUUUCG